RNAcentral lists this ribosomal RNA (404 nucleotides) under uncultured bacterium. Its description in RNAcentral is "bacterial SSU rRNA". It matches the Rfam family "Bacterial small subunit ribosomal RNA", at positions 355 to 776 of the family's 1533-position model. The record is from RNAcentral.
UGGGGAAUAUUGGACAAUGGGGGCAACCCUGAUCCAGCCAUGCCGCGUGAGUGAAGAAGGCCCUAGGGUUGUAAAGCUCUUUCAGAUGUGAGGAUGAUGACAGUAGCAUCAGAAGAAGCACCGGCUAACUUCGUGCCAGCAGCCGCGGUAAUACGAAGGGUGCUAGCGUUGUUCGGAAUUACUGGGCGUAAAGGGCGUGUAGGCGGAUGAUCAAGCUAGGGGUGAAAGCCCAGGGCCCAACCCUGGAACUGCCUUUAGAACUGAUUGUCUAGAAUCCGUAAGGGGAGUGUGGAAUUCCUAGUGUAGAGGUGAAAUUCGUAGAUAUUAGGAAGAACACCAGUGGCGAAGGCGGCACUCUGGUACGGUAUUGACGCUGAGGCGCGAAAGCGUGGGGAGCAAACAGG